UUGAACGCUGGCGGCAGGCCUAACACAUGCAAGUCGAACGGUAACAGGAAGCAGCUUGCUGCUUCGCUGACGAGUGGCGGACGGGUGAGUAAUGUCUGGGAAGCUGCCUGAUGGAGGGGGAUAACUACUGGAAACGGUAGCUAAUACCGCAUAAUGUCGCAAGACCAAAGAGGGGGACCUUCGGGCCUCUUGCCAUCGGAUGUGCCCAGAUGGGAUUAGCUUGUUGGUGGGGUAACGGCUCACCAAGGCGACGAUCCCUAGCUGUUCUGAGAGGAUGACCAGCCACACUGGGACUGAGACACGGUCCAGACUCCUACGGGAGGCAGCAGUGGGGAAUAUUGCACAAUGGGCGCAAGCCUGAUGCAGCCAUGCCGCGUGUAUGAAGAAGGCCUUCGGGUUGUAAAGUACUUUCAGCGGGGAGGAAGGGAGUAAAGUUAAUACCUUGGCUCAUUGACGUUACCCGCAGAAGAAGCACCGGCUAACUCCGUG
Molecule: ribosomal RNA, 489 nt
Filed under: uncultured bacterium
Lineage: Bacteria
Description: partial 16S ribosomal RNA
Rfam family: Bacterial small subunit ribosomal RNA
Source: RNAcentral